This 274-nucleotide ribosomal RNA is filed under the name uncultured prokaryote. RNAcentral's name for it is "partial 16S ribosomal RNA". It matches the Rfam family "Bacterial small subunit ribosomal RNA", at positions 524 to 798 of the family's 1533-position model. The record is from RNAcentral.
UACGUAGGGGGCUAGCGCUAUCCGGAAUUACUGGGCGUAAAGGGUGCGUAGGCGGUCUUUCAAGCCAGAAGUGAAAGGCUACGGCUCAACCGUAGUAAGCUUUUGGAACUGUAAGACUUGAGUGCAGGAGAGGAGAGUGGAAUUCCUAGUGUAGCGGUGAAAUGCGUAGAUAUUAGGAGGAACACCAGUAGCGAAGGCGGCUUCCUGGUCUGUAACUGACACUGAGGCGCGAAAGCGUGGGGAGCAAACAGGAUUAGAUACCCUGGUAGUCCCU